GGACACCCUGCAUACAGUUCUGAAGGUCUUAAUGAAAAGUUUACCCUGCUGGUAGAUAUGAUGCAAUCACCAUGAAUAAAUCUAAGCACCACAGAAGAGUUGAGUUAAGAACUUUAUUAAGUCUUGUCAGCAUUUACAGGCAUAACUUCACAUGUCCAUGGCCUCCAGCACCUUAAAGAGAAAGGUGCAUUUUAUUAUUUAUUCUUCACUUGCAUGUAAAACAUUUGCUCAUACCAAAGCAUUAUAUCAGAGGGGUACCAUUCAGUCAGAUUAUAAUCAGACUGGGGCGGUAUCACUAUUCAUCAUUUAUUAUAAUGGCCUGCAAUAGGAGUAAGUAUACAACUCACCAAGUUGAUUCUACAACAGAACAGAUGACCUGCAAAAGCAGAAAGGUACAUUUUAGAAUAGUCAAACAAACAAUCUAAUUAAUAUCCAUUUUCUCUAGGAGAUCAGAGGGGUACCAGUCAGUCACUACACAUCAGACUGGGGCGGUAAUCUCAAGUCAUCAUUUCAACCUAGAGUUAUUCAAUAAAGGGACCAUACUAAACGCAAACCUCAUCCAGGGCAGCACCAGUAUCUUCAUGCACAGGCUUAUGGUCCUAGAGGAAAAGACAAGAGGUCCCUUUUAAACAAAGUACUAAUGGAGGGGUGUAAAUAAUUGUAUAAACUCCGUUACUCUAGAGACUCCAGCUCAGGUUUAUAAAGUGACACACUGACGAUCUGAGUGGUUUAGAUUGGAGCAGGUAGAUCAGAGGGGUACCAUUCAGUCAGAUCAUAAUCAGACUGGGGCGGUAUCACUUCAUCAUUUCUCAUUUCACUUCACCUGCACACCUACCUGAUCAGGGACACCUUUGUUCCAAAGAGCAUCCAGCUUGUCCAUUGUUUCAGCUGAAAUAAAAAUGUGCAUUGCAUGAGACAUGAAGUGAAACUCCAGGACAAGAAUAAGCCAAUAUCACAGCUGGGCCAUCAGACAGUUGGUAACCAACAAAUUAUCCCCUUGUUGCUCUGGCAACACCAGUGGGUUCACCUUUUCAGGUUCUGGUGUUGACAGUGCGUAAGACAUGUGCAAGUUUCAUCAUAAAGGACCAGCAACUACUCUAUUCAAAGUGAACUAACUAAAUUGUAUUUUAGUAUAAAAAUUUAGGGUCUCACCUGUUCAAGUCCUCAAACUGUCAGGCCCACCCUAAAUAAGUAGUUCACAAUUAGUUUCUGCAUUUUAAGUACAAGUCAACUAGCAACAGACCACAGCAUCAUCAGUAUUCAAAAUUUCUCAACAGGAGUUCAGACGAACGAGAUUCCAAAGUAAAUCAUCAUAAGAUGCAGAAUGUUUAAAACAGACAUGGAAGAGAAAAAAAAGGUAUCACUGAUGUACCUGAAACCCACAGUACACCAUUAAGUUCUUCUGUUCAUGAAAAUGCAAUCCUGUAAACAAGACAAAGAGGGAUUACAGACACAUCUGGCCAGGAAGGUAGAGUGGAAAGCAUACAGAUCUCUCAGGUGUUCGUGACUUUUCACAGUGGGUCAAAGUGAGCUAAGUAUCUUCAUCAUAGAGACCAGAGCCUUUUACAAAGCAAACAUAAAAAAUAUUUACCAUGACAACUGCAUUUAAGAGCACUUCUGAACCAAGACUUUCAUUUGGCACAAACAUCUUCGUUUCAGAGGAUGACCAGUCUGUAGAUGAAAGCAAAGACCUUUUUUAAAAUAAAGCUAGCUUCAAAGGCAUCUGCUAAUGAAAACAUGUAAAUCUGUAGCACAGUUCACAUUUGUUAGCUCUGCAAUCAAAAACUUCUCAUAUUAACCAACAAGGAUAUUUAAUCUUCAGAAAGGAAAGGCUAAGGUAAAAUGUUUGCUGUUUCAAACACAAAAUCAAAAGAUACAUGCAGUUUGAGUAACUGGCACAACCUCUAUAACUCACUUUGAUGCUACUUGAACGCAAACAUACAUCUGCUUACCCUGAUCUGAAGACACUCACAGCCUUCCAGGCAAACACCACCCAUCUAAAGAAGUCAAUAAAAGAAACUGUUGUACAUAAAUUCACACAAGACAAGUUAUAAAACUUGCAUCUCAAUCUCUCAGAUGUUUCAAUGUUUUCACAUGGGUUCAAACUGAGCUAAGAAUAAAUGCUACAUCACAGAGACAGCACCAUCCAAAUUAAAUGCAUGUUAACGUAGAAGACUCACCACAGUGGUCCAAGCAGUGGUCACCAACAGGCAUUCACUUAACAUCUGCAAGACAAAUCUUUCAAUGACAUUGAAACCAGGACCACUGUUGGGAGGAAGAAAAAAAAAUAACUCUAGUAGGAUGAAAGGCUGGUCAAGUGACUGAAUUAUGAUCUACACUAAUGUUUGUCUGAUCAGACUUUGGUGACUAGAAUGCCAUUUGACCGAGUGGCCGUCCAGAAACGAUGGGAUGAAACCCAUUCAAUCAUUUCAGACACUUCAUGUCAAAGCUUAAUACUGAAAACAUCAAAGUACAAAGACAUUACUUACAAAGAGUUACCCACUGCACACUGAUAUGUUGAGAAGUUAAUCUUGGGAUAAACAUCUGUUAAAGAAAAGAAAUGAUUUGUUAAAAAAUAUAUAUAAAUAAAAAAAAAUAACAGAAUAUUUCCUGUUACAUUAACAGGUAAAGGGUUCAGAUUUAAAAGUGAGCAUCACUGAAAUUCAGACAUAUGCUUGUCGAUAAACUCAUCAUUAAAAACCCCCAGACACAACAAAAUUAACAUAGAACAUAAUGAAACCCACCAUUUUAUCAGCAAACUGAAUCAGGAGAUCAGAGAAGCUGCAAAGAAUAUUUCACAAAUCACUCACAAUGCACAGGAGUAUAUGAAAAAUGUACAAGAUGAAGACUAACUACUCAGAAUUAAACACAGACUCCUCAACAGAAUUCGGUAAGAGAGAGUUCAAGACUCAUCACAGCAGUGUACCAGUCACUACAAUUUGUAUAUUAUAUUCAGAGCAAGCAACGUGCUCUGGCUUAACCUGAGAAUAAAAGGAAAGAAAUGCACACCUGUCCAGCUGCUGAAGAUCCAGUCUGGAAUAAGAAGAAAAGCAUGGUUACUCAGGGGCCUGAUGACCACGUGGAGGCCUGAGAGAAACUAUCACAAUAAUUACCAAAACACUGGAUUUGUAAGAGGGAAAAAAAAAAACCUCGAAAGAAAUAAAAAAAAUACAAUAAAAUAAAAUAAGUCUCUCUUCAGAUAAUAUAGUUGCAAUCACAGGAUUUCAGUACAGGUCUGUGAAAGUUAUCAUCACUGAGAGAUAUGAUUGGACUGCAGCGUGCAUGACCGCGCGCCAUAGCUUCAGCAGUCAUUCAUCCAAAAAAAAUAAAGAAAAUAAAGCCAAUAUCCGCUACUAAUAAUGCAUCAAUACGUUUUCAUUAGUGCUGCAGUCAAAAUUUAAGCGACCAAGCAGGACGAGUUAAAGGAUGGCCAUGGAUGACGAAUCUUUGCCAAAGCAGACCAAGGAUGACUUAGGAGGAGUUGGGCCUGCUCAAUCCAAAACUAUAUAUAACUACCAAAUACUCUAGAUUUACUGCGCUAUUAUCUUCACACGGUUCAACUAAACAUAUUUGGAAAGCUAGAACAAUAAUACAGCCUUUUUGAUAAACCUCCCAACAUAAACCGAGAAGAACGUACCUCACCUCAGUCCGUGCUGCA
Ictalurus punctatus (channel catfish) is the source of this 3658-nucleotide long non-coding RNA. Lineage: Eukaryota; Metazoa; Chordata; Actinopteri; Siluriformes; Ictaluridae. The record is from Ensembl.